CUUCAGCGAGCCGAGCAGCAGCGGCGUGGUCCGGCCCUGGCCGUAGGUCGCCAGCAGCGCCUGCGCCUC
RNAcentral lists this antisense RNA (69 nucleotides) under Saccharothrix sp. NRRL B-16348. RNAcentral's name for it is "ASpks sRNA". It matches the Rfam family "ASpks TB sRNA". Lineage: Bacteria; Bacillati; Actinomycetota; Actinomycetes; Pseudonocardiales; Pseudonocardiaceae. The record is from RNAcentral.